RNAcentral lists this transfer-messenger RNA (349 nucleotides) under bovine gut metagenome. It matches the Rfam family "transfer-messenger RNA". Rfam says of the family: Bacterial tmRNA, also known as 10Sa RNA or SsrA, is named for its dual tRNA and mRNA-like properties. Its role is to liberate the mRNA from a stalled ribosome. The record is from RNAcentral.
GGGGUUGUACUGGUUUCGACGGGGGUUUAGAAAUUAUGUUAGCCAUUCAUGGACCAGGACCAUGUAAAAACUUGGAAAACUUAAAUAUAAACGCAGAAGAUAAUUUUGCAUUAGCUGCCUAGUUGCAGCUUGUCAGACCAAGGCAUCCCGCGGCUUUGGAUUCUGGCACCGACUUAGUGGGAAACUCUCAGGUCUAAGCUUUGCGAUUUGAGAAAAUUUAUGAAGCUACCAAGAUGAUGAGCCUGCCUAUGGGCGCUUUAUCGAGGGAAUGUCAAAACAUAAGGCUGUAAUGGGAGAAGAUGUAAUGGAAGAGCCUUCGGACGCGGGUUCGAUUCCCGCCAGCUCCACU